UAUAUUUACCAGCUCAUGAACAUAUUAAUAACAUAUAAUUUCUAAAAGUACAAGUGAAGUGCAAUUCAAGUAAACAAAAUUUUUAUGGCAUCACACAAUUCAAGUUAUAUGAAAUUAAUCAUAUUAUAGUUUCAAAUAACGAUAUCGGUAAUGGUGUCGAUAUUAGAGAUAUGGACCUAUAUCAGCUGAUAUCGGCCGAUAUUUACUAAAACAUCAUUAUUAAACAGUCAAAAUACCAAUACGUAAUGGCCCCGAUAACAACUUAUAGUUGACAUAUCGGCCAAUAUUUUAAAUCUUGAAGCAUAUAUAUACACACACUGUAAAACAUCAGUCUUAAACAGUCAAAAUACCAAUACGUAAUGACCCCCGAUAAUAACUUAUAGUUGACAUAUCGGCCAAUAUUUUAAAUCUUGAAGCAUAUAUAUACACACACUAUACAUGUACCUACUUUUAACCAUCUGACCUCAAAUUCAAUCAAGCCUUCUCAAUAGAUACUCAACUUGAACUUCCUUUGUCAAAGGCAUGAUCCAGUCC
This 534-nucleotide long non-coding RNA is filed under the name Actinidia chinensis (golden kiwifruit). RNAcentral's name for it is "long non-coding RNA (ACHI_LNC007444)". The record is from RNAcentral. Lineage: Eukaryota; Viridiplantae; Streptophyta; Magnoliopsida; Ericales; Actinidiaceae.